CCCAUUCGUAAGUUGUAACUCCCCACUCUCCAGUACCCCUGAACUCUUUUCUUCCUCUUGUUCUUCGACCAUGUCUCAUAUAAAAAGAAAACACCCAUACUUCAAAUCUCUCUACAGGUUCGAGGUAAAGAAUCAAAUAAUGUCUUCACCGAAAUAUACUUUAUUGAGAAGAGAUCUGGGAAAUGCAAGGUUAGAAGAUUUACUGGUGUCGAAACUAGGGAUUGUUUGCGAAAAUCUUAUUGAUGAAGAUAACCUCGUUUUUGGUUGAUUCUAAUGGGAGAUUGAAUGAAGAAGUUGAUUUUGAAAUCUUUCUAAAGGUAGAAAUUAAUUUGGGACAAGGAGAACAUCAGGUAGAAAUUGAGAUUCAAGGAUUCUGAUAUGAUACUGGUAUGUAUAUCGGCGGAGAUGAAUUAUUCUUUUCUUUUUGUCAAAGUUUUCUCUUUUAAUAAAUGAAAUUAAAAUUGGUUAAUCAUCAUUGCUUAGGUGUAUUUGAAAAUGUAAGCUAGCCCAUACAAGUACUAGGGCAGGUGUUGGUGGUGCAAAGAACUUAUCUACCUUUCUCUAGGCUGGCUAUGAGGUUAUUGUAUACACUUGGUGAAUUUGAAAAGUCAUCUAUGUUUCUCAUAUCAACAGAUAUAUUUAUAGAGAAUUGCCUUCCUGUAGAUCUUUGACUUAUGAUCUUUUCGAAGUUCCGAAAGAUGGAGUUUUUUUAUGAUAUUUUUUUCUAUGUAGCCAUUAUCAUAUGCUAAACUUUAGAGAUAUAUAUAUCUGUUUUCGUGCCAAUGAAAUUAGUAGUGUUCAAUGGUCUACUACUUUUUAGUGUGGUUAUAUUAUCAAUGUGGAGAUCCCUGGGACUAUCGACGAAUCGAUGCUAAAAGGGUACCACACCAUUGGGAAGGAAUAAAAAUCAUAUAUGCUGUCUAAAAUUUGCCAAAGCUAUUGGAUGUGAAGUGGUAAACAAUGGCACCCAAGAUUUUAUUCAAGGAAAGGGUUUAAUUAUGUAUCCAUUUCAGUCUCUCGUAAUUCGAUUGUACAUUUGGUUUUCUUAAAUUUCCUGUCACUCUAUUCAUUACAUUGGAGUUGUCAUUUUUCCAGUGACAUCACUUAUCUCCCUCUGGAUUUUCAUUUUCAGCAUGUGGUGCAGGCUGUGCUUUCACAAAUUAUUAAGGUUUUGCUAAAUGGCAUUGGAAGUGAAUACUGUGUCGGAAGAUACUUGUUGAUGGGCAUAGGAAGCGAACGAAUGCUACAUCAUUGGCAUUGGAAGUGAAUUCUGUGUCGGAAGAUACUUGUUGAUGGACAUUAGAAGAGAAGGAAUGCUGCGUCAUUCAUUGGUUCACUCAUUUUAAGUUUAUGUUUUAAUGUUAAAUUAGAUUGUUGGAUGGAAACUCAACAAGUCAACAUUAGACUUGCAUUUCUAUUUUUAUUUAGCUUUUCUUGUUGUUUGGAUGUAUGAAUUAUGACCUUAUAAAUAUUUGUUUGAA
Papaver somniferum (opium poppy) is the source of this 1481-nucleotide long non-coding RNA. RefSeq lists it as uncharacterized. The transcript is spliced from 4 exons. The record is from RefSeq and is a predicted model, not a curated record. Lineage: Eukaryota; Viridiplantae; Streptophyta; Magnoliopsida; Ranunculales; Papaveraceae.